UGUGUGUCAUUUGACCCAAUUUGUGGUCCGUUACAUCACUCCAGUGAUGUGUCUGUCUGUGCAUUUGUGUUUCUGAUGUGUUCCCUAUAUUUGGCCAAAGUGUGACAUUGGAAACGCCCUCCUUACGGUUUCUAGUGGCCAUGUGCCCAUCUCUCCGCACUAUAUGUCGGCUAUAAAAGAGCUGCUGCACCUUACACACGACGCGGUCCAUAUCCAGACACAUUACAUACAGACAAACUCAAACUCAAUCAUCAAAAUGCCUUCAAGCACAAGAAUUAUGGCGCCUCAAAUCAAGAAGACAGGAAGGAAAAUGAAAGCCGGAAAUACUCCUGUUGAAAAACUUCCAAUUUAUGAGCCGAACAUCCCAGAGCCGACGUCCCGAGAGGAGCUGCUCAAAUACUGGCUCAAUAUCUCAUUGGACGAACGAACUGCCAAUAAAGUGCUGUGGCUGACCGAGGGCGGGGCUAAAGUGUCCCGCAUGACAGAUGAGGUGUGUCCUUACCUGGACAGGCCAGAGAGAUUUGACCACAGCCCUCAGGUGCUGUGUAAGGAGUCUGUCUGGGCGUCGCGCUGUUAUUGGGAGGUGCUGUACUCUGGCUGGGUGGUUAUAGGAGCAGCAUGUGAGGGUGCUGGGAGGAAGGCAGGCGACGGUCCCUGUGGCCUCGGGGAGAACGAGGAGUCAUGGGGUCUGGGUUGGGCCAGAUCCUGUUAUGAAGCCUGGCAUAAAGGAACCAGCAGCAGGGUGGCAGACGUGCCUCAGUGCUGCACUAUAGGGGUGUAUGUGGAUCAGCCCGCGGGUCUGCUCUGCUUCUACACCGUGGAGACAGAGGAAGAUUCAAAGAAAAAAGAAGUCAAACUUCUUCGCAGGUUUAAAAAUCCCAUAAAGGAGAACAUUCUGCCAGGUUUCUGGGUGGGAAGACAGUCCUCUUGCUUAAUACUCAAGAAAGAGGAAUGAGGUAGAGGGGGAGACAAGUAAUACUGUGGCUUGUAUUUUAUUUUACACUGUAAAACCUCAUAUCAUCACUUUAUUUUUGAAAUUACUGUUCAUCUGUUUUUCUGCUAAUGCCUAUUUGUAAUCAUGCAUUUUCAGGUUCACAAAUUUGAUUUAAAAAAUGCAUCAUGCAUAUAUAUAAUCAUUCUAGAAUUCUAGAAUUAAUUUACACUCUUAAAAAUAAAGGUUUUUAUUGGAAUCAAUGGUUCCAUGAACAACCUUUAGCAUCUUUUGAUCCUUUCCAUCCCACAAAAUGUUCUUUAUAGAGGAAGAAGGUUCCUUACAUUUUUUUAAAUGUUCUCCACACUUACAGUAGAAACAAUUGUUCUUUUAUUAACUGUUCACUGAAAGGUUAGAAUCCAAAAUUAUACUUUUAUGGCAUGACUGCAAAAACCGCAUUUGAAACCGGUAUU
RNA transcript from Sinocyclocheilus anshuiensis, 1404 nucleotides. It is a transcript of the gene named tripartite motif-containing protein 16-like, with no coding region annotated. The transcript has 6 exons. NCBI's taxonomy places the organism in Eukaryota, Metazoa, Chordata, Actinopteri, Cypriniformes, Cyprinidae. The record is from RefSeq and is a predicted model, not a curated record.